This 20-nucleotide microRNA is filed under the name Gadus morhua (Atlantic cod). RNAcentral describes it as "gmo-miR-11253-3p". The record is from miRBase by way of RNAcentral. Lineage: Eukaryota; Metazoa; Chordata; Actinopteri; Gadiformes; Gadidae.
GGGCCUGGUGAGGCUGCUUA